GCGGGGCAACCUGGCGGCGAGUGGCGAACGGGUGAGUAAUAUAUCGGAACGUACCCAGAAGUGGGGGAUAACGUAGCGAAAGUUACGCUAAUACCGCAUACGAUCUACGGAUGAAAGUGGGGGACCUUCGGGCCUCAUGCUUUUGGAGCGGCCGAUAUCUGAUUAGCUAGUUGGUGAGGUAAAGGCUCACCAAGGCGACGAUCAGUAGCUGGUCUGAGAGGACGACCAGCCACACUGGGACUGAGACACGGCCCAGACUCCUACGGGAGGCAGCAGUGGGGAAUUUUGGACAAUGGGCGCAAGCCUGAUCCAGCAAUGCCGCGUGAGUGAAGAAGGCCUUCGGGUUGUAAAGCUCUUUUGUCAGGGAAGAAACGGCAGAGGCUAAUAUCCUUUGCUAAUGACGGUACCUGAAGAAUAAGCACCGGCUAACUACGUGCCAGCAGCCGCGGUAAUACGUAGGGUGCAAGCGUUAAUCGGAAUUACUGGGCGUAAAGCGUGCGCAGGCGGUUUUGUAAGUCUGACGUGAAAUCCCCGGGCUCAACCUGGGAAUUGCGUUGGAGACUGCAAGGCUGGAGUCUGGCAGAGGGGGGUAGAAUUCCACGUGUAGCAGUGAAAUGCGUAGAGAUGUGGAGGAACACCGAUGGCGAAGGCAGCCCCCUGGGUCAAGACUGACGCUCAUGCACGAAAGCGUGGGGAGCAAACAGGAUUA
This 709-nucleotide ribosomal RNA is filed under the name Massilia sp. Its description in RNAcentral is "bacterial SSU rRNA". It matches the Rfam family "Bacterial small subunit ribosomal RNA", at positions 74 to 780 of the family's 1533-position model. Lineage: Bacteria; Pseudomonadati; Pseudomonadota; Betaproteobacteria; Burkholderiales; Oxalobacteraceae. The record is from RNAcentral.